CCUUGACAUACUAAGAACUUUCCAGAGAUGGAUUGGUGCCUUCGGGAACUUAGAUACAGGUGCUGCAUGGCUGUCGUCAGCUCGUGUCGUGAGAUGUUGGGUUAAGUCCCGCAACGAGCGCAACCCUUUUCCUUAUUUGCCAGCGGGUCAUGCCGGGAACUUUGAGGAUACUGCCAGUGACAAACUGGAGGAAGGCGGGGACGACGUCAAGUCAUCAUGGCCCUUACGGCCAGGGCUACACACGUGCUACAAUGGUCGGUACAAAGGGUUGCUACCUCGCGAGAGGAUGCUAAUCUCAAAAAGCCGAUCGUAGUCCGGAUCGCAGUCUGCAACUCGACUGCGUGAAGUCGGAAUCGCUAGUAAUCGCGGAUCAGAAUGCCGCGGUGAAUACGUUCCCGGGCCUUGUACACACCGCCCGUCACACCAUGGGAGUUUGUUGCACCAGAAGUAGGUAGUCUAACCGCAAGGAGGACGCUUACCACGGUGUGGCCGAUGACUGGGGUGAAGUCGUAACAAGGUAAGCGUAGAUGA
Molecule: ribosomal RNA, 531 nt
Filed under: uncultured bacterium
Lineage: Bacteria
Description: bacterial SSU rRNA
Rfam family: Bacterial small subunit ribosomal RNA
Source: RNAcentral